GUGCGUGAGGGGUGAGGACCAGUGCUACCAAUUAGGAGGGUUGCAAAGUGGGUAAAAUAGCAAUUCCGGGGGAAUGGCAAGUCGUGGCCUUAGGGAAGAAGAAAAAUCAAUUGUGGACAGUGAGCGAGAGACACGUGCUAUUGCGGGAAAAAACAAAAAAAGAGACAAAAUAAGCGGAAGACAAUAUUCAAACACCGGAGUGACGACAGGAGGGUUGGGAUAUACACCAGCGAGGCUUCAUAGGCAGAGGAGUAGCAGUAACUGCGGGCGUUCUGGGAAGUGCGCUGUGCGCGGGUCAGCACCGACCGGCAGUACUGGGUCUUAGGCCGGACCUCGGCCCUAGCGGAAGUCAGGCCAAUUUCCAUGCAACUGGAAGUCUGGGCUAAGUACCCUUCAACAUUAAAAUACUAAAUAUUCACACACAUUCCGCUCAAACAUAGAACCAAAAUUGUAUAUACACCCUACAUACAUAUACAUAGCCAUCUCACAUACACCAGUGCAGCAUAUAACACAAAAUUCAACUAAAUACUCACACAUAUUCCGCUCAAACAUAGAACACAAAAUUUUAUAUACACCACACACUCCUUUAUAUACACUCCAUACAUGUUCACAUACACCAUAUUCAAACACACACCGAAUUUCCAUAGCACUCAGACUCACAUUCAUCCCAUAGCCACAUAAUGUAAAAUACAAAACAAAAAAACAACACACAAAACAAUUAACAAUUUUCUGUUACACACAUAGCCCAAACCAUUCACAACAUAAUAUAAAACAUUAAACAGAAACACAACACCAAACAAGUAACCAUAUUGUAAACAAAAAUUCAAAUGUAUACUUAAGAAAAAAGAACAUAAAAAAAAAAGAAAAGUAAAAGAAAAUGUAUAAAGUCUAAUAUAAGCAAAAGAGGUUGGAAUGUGUAUUGGAGCGGCGCAGUUUUUUUUUUUUGUUUAUCUCCUUGUCAUUACAUAUCAUUACACCCCUCAUAACCACAUACUCGAGUAUAGGUAGGUUAGGAGGUUCGAAAAUCGAAUAAGAUAAAUAGGCACAAAGAGCCAACAAACUGCAGCGUCCCAAAACUCAAUGGCCUAAAUACCCGAAUAUAUUUUUAUUGUAAUAAAAUUUAAAAUUUGAAAAUGAG
Molecule: long non-coding RNA, 1138 nt
Organism: Scaptodrosophila lebanonensis
Lineage: Eukaryota; Metazoa; Arthropoda; Insecta; Diptera; Drosophilidae
Exons: 2
Source: RefSeq, a predicted model, not a curated record